RNAcentral lists this ribosomal RNA (494 nucleotides) under uncultured bacterium. Its description in RNAcentral is "partial 16S ribosomal RNA". It matches the Rfam family "Bacterial small subunit ribosomal RNA", at positions 28 to 507 of the family's 1533-position model. The record is from RNAcentral.
GACGAACGCUGGCGGCGUGCUUAACACAUGCAAGUCGAACGGAAAGGCCUGCUUUCCCUUGUGGAUUGCGGGUACUCGAGUGGCGAACGGGUGAGUAACACGUGAUUGAUCUUCCCCCAACUUGUGUAUAAGCCUGGGAAACUGUGUCUAAUUCUCGAUAGUACUGCAGGGUGGUGCCUGUGGUGGAAAACGAUUUUCUAGUGGUUGGGGAUGAGCUCGCGGCCUAUCAGCUUGUUGGUGGGGUAAUGGCCUACCAAGGCGGCGACGGGUAGCCGGCCUGAGAGGGUGGACGGCCACAUUGAGACUGGGAUACGACCCAGACGCGUACGAGAAGCAGCAGUGGGGAGUAUUGGAGAAUGGGCGGAAGCCUGAUGCAGCGACGCGGCGUGGGAGAUGACGGGCUUCGGGUUGUAAACUCCUGUGGAACGCGAGGAAGCCACCUGGUUGGAAGGGUGGUGACGGUAGUGGUAGAAGAAGCACCGGCUAACUACGUG